Molecule: ribosomal RNA, 231 nt
Filed under: Triticum aestivum (bread wheat)
Lineage: Eukaryota; Viridiplantae; Streptophyta; Magnoliopsida; Poales; Poaceae
Description: partial small subunit ribosomal RNA
Source: RNAcentral
AUGAAAUUUGCUUUCAAACUUCUCCAAAAAAACAGACUUACCAUGGGUCAACUGGUUUUUCCAGCACUACUCUCUAGACUUCGAAAACAAACCUCACAGCCCUUCCUACCUAUGGAGAAUCGUAAACGAACAAAUUCGAACCCUCCGCAAAAUCUCCUUUGUCCUUACCAACAAUGGCACAUCCACUUUCUUCUAGCUCGACGCUUGGCUUCUUCCGACUCUGCUAGCUGA